Molecule: ribosomal RNA, 119 nt
Filed under: Pteropus alecto (black flying fox)
Lineage: Eukaryota; Metazoa; Chordata; Mammalia; Chiroptera; Pteropodidae
Source: RNAcentral
AUCUACGGCCAUGCCACCCUGAACACGCUCAAUCAUGUCUGAUCUCAGAAGCUAAGCAGGGGCGGGCCUGGUUAGUACUUGGAUGGGAGACCACCUAGGAAGACCAGGUGCUGUAGGCG